Molecule: non-coding RNA, 76 nt
Organism: Acanthosepion pharaonis
Lineage: Eukaryota; Metazoa; Mollusca; Cephalopoda; Sepiida; Sepiidae
Source: the annotation of a GenBank genome assembly
UUACGGUCAAAUCACGCUGAAAACACUGGUUCUCGUUCGAUCACCGAAGUUAAGCAUCGUAGAGCCAGGUCAGUAC